GCCCACAUAGCUCAGCGGUAGAGCACUUCCUUGGUAAGGAAGAGGUCACCGGUUCAAGACCGGUUGUGGGCUCCA
This 75-nucleotide transfer RNA is filed under the name Candidatus Geothrix skivensis. RNAcentral's name for it is "tRNA-Thr". It matches the Rfam family "tRNA". From Rfam's summary of the family: Transfer RNA (tRNA) molecules are approximately 80 nucleotides in length. Their secondary structure includes four short double-helical elements and three loops (D, anti-codon, and T loops). Lineage: Bacteria; Pseudomonadati; Acidobacteriota; Holophagae; Holophagales; Holophagaceae. The record is from RNAcentral.